Long non-coding RNA from Panthera uncia (snow leopard), 2231 nucleotides. RefSeq lists it as uncharacterized. NCBI's taxonomy places the organism in Eukaryota, Metazoa, Chordata, Mammalia, Carnivora, Felidae. The transcript is spliced from 4 exons. The record is from RefSeq and is a predicted model, not a curated record.
GCGGGAAGCGGCGGCCGCCGCGGGAAUGCUUCUGGGUGGAACGCGCCCCCGCUGGCGGCUGCCGGGACCCAGCAGCGUCCCGGGUGAAACCGACCCGGCCUCUCUGGCGCCGCUUCUGCGGCAAGGCCUGCAGAAAGACGCCGCGGCGCCUCUUUCCUCCCGGACCUUCUUCCCCUGCAAGCAGGUCAUCUUAGCCUUAGCAGAUCUCCACCCACAUAGAACUCAGAAAUUGUCAUUUUGAAGGACAAAAGAAGUCUGUCCUAGAGAUGUUUUGUUUAAACUGUCCCUCGUGUGCUGAAAAAGCGGCUCACCAGGCGUGGCGGGCCAAGUAAGGGGCUGCUAGGGGAAUGAGCUGGAAUGCGGGGAGGGUUGAGCUCCAUCAUUGACCGGUGUGCCAAGGCCCAAGGGACACCGGACUCUCCGUAAUCACCCUCCCCCCACCCCCCCUUGGCCACAGCUCACCACGGGACCUCAAGGGACGCACUUGGGCAGCCCCGCCUGCCGGCGCCCUCGUCUCCAACCCUCUCCGCCCCGCCUGGCGCACUGCGUGGUUUGCUUAGUUUCCCGGACCUGGCAGAGCGGUGGCUGCGUUGAGGACGCACCGCACCCGUCCCGCGCCCUGUGGUCGGGGAGGCUCCAGGCCCACCCCCAGUGCAGGCCUCCGGGUGGGCGGACGCCGCCAGCGCCGCAGGUGCAGCCCAGACACAGCGCGCCGAUUGAUUGCUCUUUUGCCGUGAGCAAGUGACAGCAAGGAUUUGAAACUGACCAAAGAGGGUCUUAACCUUCAUAUUAUAAGCCAAGACGCUGGAGUGAGAAACAAUGCAGGACAAAAGAGAGGACUACAGAAAAACGUAAUGUUUCUGGAGUACCGAGUUCUGUGCAGAGGGUGGACCUGAUUGUGGUCUGGGGCCUAGGGACCAGAAUGUCCAGAAGAAAGGUGACAAGGGGCCCUUCGACAUGGAGGCAGUGGAUGAAAGCAGAAUGAGCUGUGUGGUCAAGAUGGAAAAGCAGGACUGGCAGGAUAGAAGAUAAAACCUGAUGCCCACUCAAGAGAGAAGCUUAACAGGAGACUCGCUCAAAGCUGGGACUCCGGAGGACUACAUUCUCCAUAUAAAGGUGACCCAGAAAUAAACUAUUCCUUCUGCAGAGGACUGGGAUCCUGAUGCUAAUUGAAUCGGAGUGUGGGUGGGCAAAUCUCCCCUGAGAAUAUGUAACCACAAGCCUGCCUUCAUAUAGAUUUUCAGCCUGGAUUCACAUGAUUAGGUACCACUUCCCCUAAAAGGGAAACAAAACAAAACAAAACAAAACAUCCUAGAGUCAAUAAUAUGAUCAGAAUUGGUCCCAGACUUUUGAUGCCCCCAGGUACCUGACAGAAGCAAGUGUAAAUCCUUUUCAGUGGAAUUCAGAAAUUUGCCUUCAUCCCUGGCCUCAAAUAAUUCCCACAGGUUAUGUCCAAGGAAAAUAAGCAGCCCCAAAUAAAAUAAUUUGCCAAAUAUAGAGGUAAACAAGGCACUAUGAGUAAGAACCAGCGGAAAUGAGACAGCAGAUUCAGACCCAAAAAAACUUUAUAUAUUUUUUAAAUGUUGAUUUAUUUUUGACAGAGAGAGAGAGAGAGAGAGAGAGAGAGAGAGAGCAUGCAAGCAGGGGAGGGAUGGAGAAAAAGGGACACAGAGGAUCUGAAGCAGGGUCCACGCUGCUUCAGAGCCUGACACGGGCUGGAACUCAGGAACCCUGAGAUCACAACUUGAGCUGAAGUCAGUCACUUAACUGACUGAGCCACCCAGGCGUGCCCUCCUCCCACCAAACAAACAAACAAACAAACAAAAAAACAACCUUUAGAUGCUGGAAUUAUCAGAUCUAGCAUACUCAAAUAAGCAUGUUUAAUGUAAUAGAAUAAAUAAGAGAGGCUUGAAAAUAUGACAAAAGAGCAAGCAAAUGUGGAAAAAAAAAACUCAGAGGAAAGAAAAAUAAAAAAUUGAAAUGUAAAACUCAGUAGAUAGGUUUAAAGCUGGUUAAAUAUAGUUGAAAGGAUGAUUAGGGAUGUGGAGGAUAGAACAGAAGAAAUUAUUUGAAAUAUAGCCCAGAGAGACAAAGAUAGGGAAAAUAUAAAAUAGAAGUUAAAAUUACAUAGAAGAUAGACCAACAAGGUCUAUCAUACAUUUAAUCAUAAUUCCAGAGGGAGAAUAAAUAAAAAAGAGAGAAGAGGAAAUGUUUGAAAAAAAAAUAAUGGA